AAUCAACGCUGGCGGCGUGCCUCAGACAUGCAAGUCGAACGAAUUAAAGCUCUCUUCGGAGGGUGUAUAGAGUGGCGCACGGGUGAGUAACACGUAAGUAAUCUACCCUCGGGUGGGAAUAACAUCGGGAAACCGAUGCUAAUACCGCAUAAUGCAGCGGCUCCUAAUGGAGACAGUUAGUUAAAGGAUUUAUUCGCCUGAGGAGGAGCUUGCGGCAGAUUAGCAGUUGGUAA
RNAcentral lists this ribosomal RNA (233 nucleotides) under uncultured bacterium. RNAcentral's name for it is "partial 16S ribosomal RNA". It matches the Rfam family "Bacterial small subunit ribosomal RNA", at positions 32 to 255 of the family's 1533-position model. The record is from RNAcentral.